Molecule: long non-coding RNA, 184 nt
Organism: Callorhinus ursinus (northern fur seal)
Lineage: Eukaryota; Metazoa; Chordata; Mammalia; Carnivora; Otariidae
Source: RefSeq, a predicted model, not a curated record
CGACGUGGAUGGAACUGGAGAGUAUUAUGCUGAGUGAAAGAGCAACAAAACCCAGAUCUAUAUGAACAAAAUAUAUAAAACUAAAGACAUGAGAAUAAAAUCAGGUUUAAAAAGACAAUGUUCCCAUAAGAAAUAAUGGCAAAGAAAGGAGCUCCUAGUCACACUCAGCAAACCUGCUUUCCCA